Molecule: ribosomal RNA, 407 nt
Filed under: uncultured bacterium
Lineage: Bacteria
Description: partial 16S ribosomal RNA
Rfam family: Bacterial small subunit ribosomal RNA
Source: RNAcentral
GACGAACGCUGGCGGCGUGCUUAACACAUGCAAGUCGAACGAAGUGGCGAACGGGUGAGUAACGCGUAAUCAACUGCCUAUUAGAGGGGGAUAACUAUUGGAAACGAUAGCUAAUACCGCAUACUAGUAGAUGGACCUGCGUUGUAUUAGCUAGUAGGUAGGGUAAUGGCCUACCUAGGCGACGAUACCAAGCCGACCUGAGAGGGUGAUCGGCCAACCUUGGACUGAGACACGGCCCAGACUCCUACGGGAGGCAGCCGUAGGGAAACUUCCGCAAUGGGGGGAACCCUGACCGGGCAUCGCCGCGUGAGUGAAGAAGGUUUUCGGAUCGUAAAGCUCUGUUGUUAAGGAAGCGGUACUUAACCAGAAAGGGACGGCUAACUACGUGCCAGCAGCCGCGGUAAUAC